Molecule: ribosomal RNA, 253 nt
Filed under: uncultured bacterium
Lineage: Bacteria
Description: partial 16S ribosomal RNA
Rfam family: Bacterial small subunit ribosomal RNA
Source: RNAcentral
UACGGAGGGUGCGAGCGUUGUCCGGAAUCACUGGGCGUAAAGGGCGCGUAGGCGGCGCGGGGAGUCAACGGUGAAAGCUCGGCGCUCAACGCCGAGUCGGCCGUCGAUACUCCCGUGCUUGAGCACUGUAGAGGCAGGUGGAAUUCCGGGUGGAGUGGUGAAAUGCGUAGAGAUCCGGAGGAACACCAAAGGCGAAGGCAGUGUCCUGGGGAGUACCUGACGCUCAGGUGCGAAAGCCAGGGGAGCGAACGGG